AAGAUUUUAAGUUAAAAAAACUAUUAAUCUUCAAAAUUAAAAUUAAAUUAUUUUUAAAUCUUA
Molecule: transfer RNA, 63 nt
Filed under: Hyposoter sp. ZJUH_2016018
Lineage: Eukaryota; Metazoa; Arthropoda; Insecta; Hymenoptera; Ichneumonidae
Description: tRNA-Trp
Source: RNAcentral